UUAAAAACGAUGAAGAGAAGAGUAACUGACGAAAGCGAUAAAAGAGAACCCGGAUGGUGAGAAAGGGGAUGGCGGCAAUCGGUGAAGAUGAGCUCGGAGUAUUUAAGUAGUUUACGCUACUUAAACGGAAGCAACCGUUAUCUUGCCAGGUUUCACUUAAAGAAGUCGAACUGUUGAGGUGGUAGGUUAUCCCUAUCAUGAAUAAGGGUGGUAACACGGAAAAUAUCCGUCCCUUUG
This 237-nucleotide non-coding RNA is filed under the name Enterococcus aquimarinus. Its description in RNAcentral is "T-box sequence". It matches the Rfam family "T-box leader". Rfam says of the family: Uncharged tRNA acts as the effector for transcription antitermination of genes in the T-box leader family. T-boxes are found upstream of many aminoacyl-tRNA synthetase genes and some amino acid biosynthetic genes usually in Gram-positive bacteria. The anticodon of a specific tRNA base pairs to a specifier sequence within the T-box motif, and the NCCA acceptor tail of the tRNA base pairs to a conserved bulge in the T-box antiterminator hairpin. Lineage: Bacteria; Bacillati; Bacillota; Bacilli; Lactobacillales; Enterococcaceae. The record is from RNAcentral.